Molecule: microRNA precursor, 73 nt
Filed under: Jaculus jaculus (lesser Egyptian jerboa)
Lineage: Eukaryota; Metazoa; Chordata; Mammalia; Rodentia; Dipodidae
Description: miRNA (ENSJJAG00000002188.1)
Source: RNAcentral
GCGGCGCUCAGAAUGGAGGCACUUGCCGUGUCCCGAUGGGAAAGUGCUUCCAUUUUGUGUGUCUCCGCGUGGG